GGAGAAGGAAAAGAAAAAGGGGGAAGGAAGGAAAGUUAGAGAAAGAAGGAAGAAGAAAAGGAAAGAAAAGGAAAGAUGGAAGGAAAGAAAAGAGAGACAGCAGAAGAGAAAGAAAAAGGGGGAAGGAAGGAAAGAGGUAGAGAAGGAAGAAAUGAGAGACAGAGGGAGGGAAAGAAAAAGGGGGAAGGAAGGAAGGAGAGAAGGAAAGAAAAAAGGGAAUGAAGAAGGAAAGAGGGAGUGAAGGAAGGGGGAAGAUGUAGAGAAAGAGGGAGGGAAGGAAAGAAGGAAAGAGAGAAGGAAGAAAAGAGACCAGAAGAGAAAGAAAAAGGGGGAAGGAAGGAAAGAGAUAGAGAAGGAAGAGGAGAAGGAAAGGAGAGAAAGAGGGAAGGUUGGCCACAGCAACACGUGGCGGGUAAAGGUUGUUAUUUCUAUUAUUAUUAUUAUGCUAUUAUUCCUAUGAGACCCUUUUAGGGGGAAUGGGAGAGGUGUCAGGUCCCAGAGGCAAUGCAUUGCAUUAUUGUUAUUGUUAUGAUGGUGGUGAAAUAAAAGGAAAUAAAAAGUGAAAGAAGGAAGCAAA
Anolis sagrei ordinatus is the source of this 577-nucleotide non-coding RNA. NCBI's taxonomy places the organism in Eukaryota, Metazoa, Chordata, Lepidosauria, Squamata, Anolidae. The record is from RefSeq and is a predicted model, not a curated record.